CUGAUGAGCAUGCCGCGUGAGUGAGAGGUCUUCGGAUCGUAAAGCUCUGUUGUUAGAGAAGAACACGUGCUAGGUAACUACUAGCGCCUUGACGGUAUCUAACCAGAAAGUCACGGCUAACUACGUGCCAGCAGCCGCGGUAAUACGUAGGUGACAAGCGUUGUCCGGAUUUAUUGGGCGUAAAGGGAGCGCAGGCGGUCUGUUUAGUCUAAUGUGAAAGCCCACGGCUUAACCGUGGAACGGCAUUGGAAACUGACAGACUUGAAUGUAGAAGAGGAAAAUGGAAUUCCAAGUGUAGCGGUGGAAUGCGUAGAUAUUUGGAGGAACACCAGUGGCGAAGGCGAUUUUCUGGUCUAACAUUGACGCUGAGGCUCGAAAGCGUGGGGAGCGAACA
This 394-nucleotide ribosomal RNA is filed under the name Dolosigranulum pigrum. RNAcentral's name for it is "bacterial SSU rRNA". It matches the Rfam family "Bacterial small subunit ribosomal RNA", at positions 383 to 774 of the family's 1533-position model. The record is from RNAcentral. Lineage: Bacteria; Bacillati; Bacillota; Bacilli; Lactobacillales; Carnobacteriaceae.